This 301-nucleotide ribosomal RNA is filed under the name uncultured bacterium. RNAcentral describes it as "partial 16S ribosomal RNA". It matches the Rfam family "Bacterial small subunit ribosomal RNA", at positions 509 to 807 of the family's 1533-position model. The record is from RNAcentral.
CAGCCGCCGCGGUAAUACAGAGGGUGCGAGCGUUAAUCGGAUUUACUGGGCGUAAAGCGUGCGUAGGCGGCUUUUUAAGUCGGAUGUGAAAUCCCUGAGCUUAACUUAGGAAUUGCAUUCGAUACUGGGAAGCUAGAGUAUGGGAGAGGAUGGUAGAAUUCCAGGUGUAGCGGUGAAAUGCGUAGAGAUCUGGAGGAAUACCGAUGGCGAAGGCAGCCAUCUGGCCUAAUACUGACGCUGAGGUACGAAAGCAUGGGGAGCAAACAGGAUUAGAUACCCGGGUAGUCCCUGUCUCUUAUAC